UMCCAGCUCCACGAGUGGSAACYACAAUUAUUGGGCCUAAAGCGUCCGUAGCCGGUUUAAUAAAUUUCUUGUGAAAUUGUUGCGCUUAACGUAACAACGUGCAGGAAAGACUGUUAAACUUGGGACUGGGAGGGGUUAGAAGUAUCUCUGGGGUAGCGGUAAAAUGUUAUAAUCCUAGAGAGACUACCUAUGGUGAAGGCAUCUWACUAGAACAGGUCCGACGGUGAGGGACGAAAGCUAGGGGAGCAAAACGGAUUAGAUACCCGAGUAGUCCUAGCUGUAAACGCUGCGAGCAAGAUGUUGCGUAUUCUUCGUGAAUACGCAGUAUCGMAGAGAAGUCGUUAAGCUCGCCGCCUGGGAAGUAUGGUCGCAAGACUGAAACUUAA
This 386-nucleotide ribosomal RNA is filed under the name uncultured euryarchaeote. Its description in RNAcentral is "bacterial SSU rRNA". It matches the Rfam family "Archaeal small subunit ribosomal RNA", at positions 474 to 859 of the family's 1478-position model. The record is from RNAcentral. Lineage: Archaea; Methanobacteriati; Methanobacteriota.